Magnolia sinica is the source of this 2075-nucleotide long non-coding RNA. RefSeq lists it as uncharacterized. The record is from RefSeq and is a predicted model, not a curated record. The transcript has 2 exons. NCBI's taxonomy places the organism in Eukaryota, Viridiplantae, Streptophyta, Magnoliopsida, Magnoliales, Magnoliaceae.
UAUGGUGCAGGCACCUAUUUAUAAAAAAAAAUUCAACGAAGUGACAGUUGGGAAGGAAUCCAUUUGCUUGGAAUUUCCAAUUGAACUUGUGGCUAGGAAUUAAAAAAACAAUGCAAAAUGCUGGAAUUUCUAACUGGAAAUCGUUUCUAGGCUUUCCCAGUCCCAAUCACAGGAAUUUACGACUACUUAGAUUCUAUUUCGAGGUGGGUACUUUUCCAAGGAGCCAAAUGACCCCUUACGAUCUUUGAUUUUCUUGUUAUUUAUUUAUUUAUUUAUUUAUUUUUAUGAAGAAGGGAAGUAGGUGGCAAUUUAUGAUAUUGAUUUCUAAUGGGCUUAUGUAAUUUUAUUAUUAUUAUAUAGUUUUGGUCUCUUCUUGUACCCAUGAAGUUUCUGACCAUAAAGGAUUGAUUUCUGUUGGACUUGUUGAUUGAAAGGAAAGCAGAGGUCUUGUUCUGUUGUUCAUGCAAAUUUAUGCAAAAAUUUCUCUUCUAGUUUUGCUCUUCAACCUCUUCUUGAACUCGUAAAGCUACUGGUAAGAAUCAACAUCAUAAAUUGCUACCUACUGGGAAUGGUGGGCGAAUGACAAAUGGUUUAAAAUAAAUGAGCAAUUGCCAAACUUUAAAGUCAACCUCUUGGAUGAUUAGAUCCUACAUCCAGUUUACAGGUGGGAUCCUCAGAUGAACUGUCAAGAUGACCAUGUGCAUGUGCUGCAUGUAUGUUCUUGAUAGCCGUACACACAAUCUGUGGGCCCAAAAAAUCAUAUAAUUCCACCCUUUUGAAAAGGGUUUGUUUCCUAUCUGCAUGGAUAGAAAACAUUCAUUGUGGAAUGUGUGAUGAUGUAGACUGUCCAUCUAGUGGCCUACAAAUGUACAGGAGAUGACCCAAGGUUUUCACUGAUUGCACAAUCCUAACCAUCCAAAGACCCUACUGGUGCUCUGAAAAUUGAUGACUAAAACAAAAGAGGACUGAUUCAAUUUUAUUAGUAAAACUCCAUUAUUAGAUCUUGUAUCUUGGAUUGUUGAUCCUUUCUAAUAUAUUAGUUUGGAAGAUCCUAACCACCUCUCUUAGGAAAAUUUUAAGGUGAAUGUGGAUUGUGGCUGUAUUUCUCUUCUUAACCUGUCUAUUUCCAGGUCAGAGAUUAAAAUGAUUGUGGGAUCCUUGCAAUGAAGUAUGUUAUUCUUAGAACGUCCAAGAAAUUUUGGAGGUGAAAUCUGAAUAUUUUGAUCAAAUAAAGAAGUUUGGAAUUUCAGUUUUUGAUUACUGGUAUUGAGAACUUGAAUGAGUAAUUGAAAAUUAUACCAUAUUACUAGUAAAAUCCAUUUACUAGCAUGCCUUACAACAAUUCGAAAUCAGGUAACAAUAGCAGGAUUAAAUGGUCUGGAAUUGCAUUAGAUGGAAUUAACACCUUUAUUGCACAAUGAUUACAUGUCUAGAAAUACCAUGGUAUUUCCAUCGUCCAAUGCCAUGUUUAAAAAUAGAUUUAAAAUCUUACAGAUUUGAAGGAAAAAAAUACUUGGAAGUUGAGGUUCUUUGAGAUGAUUUGAUUUUUAAGGCCUGUAUGGUUGAUGGGGAGUUCAUUCCUUGGUCUUUAUGUUUUCUGGGCGAUGUUAGAGUUGGCAUAGUAUUUCAUUGGGAAUGGUUAGAUUUUAUGUCUGAUAAUGGGUUUCCUAUGAAAACUUGGAAGUGUAUGUUGAUAUGCAGAGCUGACUGGUUGUAGAAUUGCUACUGAAAUGGAAAGAAUUCACUGUUAAAACAGGGGACAAUAGGAAAGCAACAAAAACUGCGAUCCUCGCCCGCACGACAGCAUUUAUAGGGGUGGCCAUCUUGGGUUCAAGCUUAUACUACUGUAAAUGGGGCAAGAAGAGACCACAACGAGGUUAACUCCAUUCUACAAGUAAGUAUGCUACUCGCUGAAGUUUGAAUUAGGUUCCUUUCUCUAAUUUUUUUUCCUUGAUUUUUGAGAGUAUACUGAAUGAGUAACUUCUUCCAAGCAUAGCAAAGCAGCUGGAAACAUCUGAACCCCUGUUCUCCAUCUGAUAUUUAUCUUCUUUAUAAAGUAACUACCGUUUUGAUUA